RNAcentral lists this transfer RNA (742 nucleotides) under Bradyrhizobium sp. RNAcentral describes it as "partial miscellaneous RNA". The stretch from base 190 to 263 matches the Rfam family "tRNA". The record is from RNAcentral. Lineage: Bacteria; Pseudomonadati; Pseudomonadota; Alphaproteobacteria; Hyphomicrobiales; Nitrobacteraceae.
CUAAGGGAUGNGUUCUUCAGAAGCUUGCUUCUAUCGAACCGUUUUAGAAACAUCAGUGGCCAACGAUCGUCAGGAUCGUUGAGCUGCAUNGGCGGGAUUUCGCCGUCUUCGUUUCUCUUUCUUCGCGGACGAACACGCGCUGGGCCUGCAUGACGCAGGGUCCCUGGUCCUUGACGGGAUANGCGUUAGGGGCUUGUAGCUCAGUUGGUUAGAGCGCGCGCUUGAUAAGCGUGAGGUCGGAAGUUCAAGUCUUCCCAGGCCCACCAGCCUUCGCGCUUCGCUGCUUCGGCUAGGCAAGCCCUUCGAUACGAAGGCUGCCGCGCCGUAGCCUUUGCGAAGGCGGGCUGAUCAAACGAGCAUUCGUCUUCUGGUUACGGGGCCAUAGCUCAGCUGGGAGAGCGCGUGCUUUGCAAGCAUGAGGUCGUCGGUUCGAUCCCGUCUGGCUCCACCAGAUGGUUUGAUCACCGAGGCUGUAUUUGCAGGUAUUCAACCGUCGUCCGCGAAACAUCACUUCGCAUCUUGCUAGUCUGGAUAGACAGCAAGUUGCGUGAUUUUUGACAUCGUAAAGAGGNAGAUCGAUCCGAGUUGGAUCGGGCAGCAAGCAAUUGCUGCGCGAUACUUCAUUAUCUCCGGAUCAUUUCGGCGCUCGCGCGCCUUUCAAUGCAGCUCACAAGGCUGCGUCUGAAGGGAAUGCGGGUUGUAAAUGAUCCUUUUAGCGAAGCUUGACCGCCUCGCUAUCGGA